CUGGUGGUCUUGUGGUUAGGACUUAGCGUUCUUACCGCUGUGGCCCGGGUUCAAUUCCUGGUCAG
This 65-nucleotide transfer RNA is filed under the name Danio rerio (zebrafish). It matches the Rfam family "tRNA". Rfam says of the family: Transfer RNA (tRNA) molecules are approximately 80 nucleotides in length. Their secondary structure includes four short double-helical elements and three loops (D, anti-codon, and T loops). Lineage: Eukaryota; Metazoa; Chordata; Actinopteri; Cypriniformes; Danionidae. The record is from Rfam by way of RNAcentral.